Long non-coding RNA from Drosophila nasuta, 1565 nucleotides. RefSeq lists it as uncharacterized. The transcript is spliced from 4 exons. The record is from RefSeq and is a predicted model, not a curated record. NCBI's taxonomy places the organism in Eukaryota, Metazoa, Arthropoda, Insecta, Diptera, Drosophilidae.
AGGAACAGGAACAGAACUCUAAACUGAGUGACUACGUGGCUCAUUUGGCGUUCGGCUAAUCGCAAAUAACGCACAUCGAUUAAGGCCACAUCAAAUGAGUUGGCUAAAAUAGGAAAUGCCAAGGAACACACACACACACACACAUCGAAAGAUGAGUAAAAGAGAAUGAGAAACAGAAAUAGAAACAAUUAGCACGGUCAGAACAUAAUUGGCGUGCAGUUAGGUCUCUGAUUAAAGAAGCAAUCAUAAAAUUAAGACCCAUAAUCCUCUGCAAUUUGAGCACACGCAUCACAAUUGACGAAGGUGUGGCCAAGGGGUCGAGGGGGGAAUACCACAGGGGAAAGGAACGCGAGGCUGGCGGCGACUCAAUCGGAAGAAACAAAAGCAGGAGCUGGCCAGAGAAGCUAAUACGAGUAAUAAACCAACAGCAGCAGCAACACAACAAGCCAGAAGACUAUUAGAGUUACAAUUGUAGCAGCUGAUCGACUAGAAGUUACCCUGUAAAGGUAUCAAAAUCACUUUACACGUUUUGUCUCCAUCCACUACACACACACACACACAUACAAGCACGCCAUCUCUAGCUCAGUGUGUGUAUGUGUGUGUGUGAAUGUGAGUGCAUUUCGGUGCGUGGUCCACCAAGCGAAAUGCGGAACUCAUUAUGUACGUGCGGCGAUUUGUGUGCCCCGCUAACAACAACAACAACAACAGCAACAACAAUGAGAACUACAACAGGCUGAGAAGAAGAAGCAGAACUCUUAGUUUAUAUCGACUGUGCGAGACCCUGUAACAAAUUUGGAAAUUGGAUGAAAGUGUUGCUGUUGUAAUUGGGUAUGAAGGCAACUAAUAUGAAAUGUUCAUAAGCAAGCUGGGCAUCGGGAAUGAGGAGGAUUGUGGAAUUUGAGCUUGCGUCUUGGACUUGGAUUUGGUUUUGGAUGUGGAUGUGGAUGUGGAUAAGGCAUUUGACUGAGGAUUGCAGUCAGUUCAAUACGCUUCCGGUUAUAGAAAUUGUAUGUGAAACGUGAGAAAUUCAUUUCCAAAGGUGGCCAACAAUCGACGGUCAAAGGUUAAGUCAAUGCAUUUAAUUAUCAAUGGAUGAGAACAACAAUUAAUAAGAUGAUGAUGAGGAGAAGAAGAAGAGUUGCCAUCGAUUGUCCGACAAAAGCCGAAAGAGGUCAGCAAAAUUGUGGAAAUAAGUUUGCGUUCGAAACAUGCGAGAUUUCUAGCAUACUUUUAGGCAUGCCACGACCAACAAUCAUUGCAUACUUUUAAUCGUUUCUCGAAAUGCGCACUUAUCCAAAGCAUGCUGCAUACUUUUAGGCCGUGUAAUUAAAUCAGCAAAUGCAUUUGAACAAUGCAAUUCAUUGCAUACUUUCACAGACGAGCAACAGCUGAAGAUUUAUAAAUUAUCGCAUUGCUGUUUUAUUUGUUUAAUUUUGCCAGAAUACAUUUAAGUAAAGCUCGAUAAACAAUUUUAUUGAUUGUCCAUUUAAGCCAUUAAAUCUCAUACUUAACAAAUCGAUGUAAAUGCCAUGAAAAUCAAUUAAAAGCAGUUGCAUACUUUUGGG